CUGUAUGUACAAACCACUCUUAAGACCCGGUCCCAUGCCCAAAAGUAGAUGGCCAACACAAACUGAACUCGGUGGUAUUUUUGGAGGGCUUUUUGUUAGCUCUCACAAUGCUUUGUCUGGGAUCUCUUUUUUUUCUUUUUCUUACACUACAGGUCUUUGCUUAUACAUUAUGCUUUCUAAUGUAGUAUUUAGAGGACUUCCACGUUUUCUAAUGUGUUUUCUCUGUGUCUGUGUUUCUUGUGUGUGUGUUUUCUUUGACCCUGUUUCUCUGUUCAUUUGCUCGGUUUGUCCUAUUCAGGUUUGUCUGAUAUUUUUUUUCUCUCUCUUUAGAUACCCCUUUGUUUUCUAAUGUAGGAAAGCAAGAAAGGAUAUGGACUUGGGUGUGUGGAGAGGUGGGGAAGCUCUGGGAGGAGUUGAGGGAAAUGGAACUAAAAUCAGAAUUUAUUGUAUGGAAGAAAAUCUUCUUCAGUUAAAAAAGUUUUAAGUACGAUACAGUAAAAAUGAAAAAGAAAAA
Molecule: long non-coding RNA, 514 nt
Filed under: Rattus norvegicus (Norway rat)
Lineage: Eukaryota; Metazoa; Chordata; Mammalia; Rodentia; Muridae
Description: long non-coding RNA NONRATT003260
Source: RNAcentral